RNA transcript from Triticum dicoccoides, 3267 nucleotides. RefSeq lists it as uncharacterized. The transcript is spliced from 3 exons. Lineage: Eukaryota; Viridiplantae; Streptophyta; Magnoliopsida; Poales; Poaceae. The record is from RefSeq and is a predicted model, not a curated record.
ACCACACAUUAACCCUAUCCCGAACCACGCUUUCUUUCCGGCGAUGGCGCCGCCGUUCUCUUCUCCGUGCACCGCCGUCUGCUCCGCGGCCGCUCCAUCUCCUCCUCCCCUGCCUCACCUUAUCCCUUCCUCCUCCCACUUUCUCUGCCUUUCUGUGCUCCCGUGCUCCUCGUGCCUCUUCCCCACUCCCGCACCCAGAUGCGACCGCCUAGGUUUUGCUUCGGCCGGAGAUGGCUACCAUGGAGGUCGCCCCCUGCAGAUCUAGCGGCCCAGUCCUCUACCACAUGUGGUAGUCAAGGAGGAUGCAGCACCGUCACCAGGCUGGUGCUGGGUGCGCUUUGGCCUUCCUUCUAGCCGGUGUGUACCUUGCUCAUGGGGUAGCGCCGAGCGACGGCAGUGACUACAAGAUGCAGCAGAAGUGGCGCAUGGCCAAGGAUCCAGGCCUCCGACCAUUAGCGGUUGUUGUUGUGGCAGAAGCGGCGGUACAGAGUUCGUGCCUCCGCCCUGUUCAGCCUUGCCUCCAUCAACUCUGGAAUCCCCUGAUUCUUCCUCCAGGCAGCGGCGCAGUUUGUUGGCUUGCUCAUCAAUUGUGAUACCCCAUGGCCCCUGUCCGCACCUGCUGGUGAGUUCUUCCCGAAUGCUGCUGUGUAUUCCUUUGGUUGUUACUUAUUGCAUGAGAAAAUAGGUUCCAUGCUUUUUCUUUCCCAUUUGAACCAUGCGAAGACCCAUUUCCAGUACUUCCAUUAAUUCCAUGCAUCCUCUGGUUCUGCUAUUAUUCUAUUAGGAUUUUAUUGUUGAUUCAAACAUGCUAGUUAUUUAGCCUUUUUCUGAGACAUUUGUAGCUAUUCUGAGGGUGCUCCUUCAGUAAAUAUAUUCUUAUCUCUACCAUAUCAGGGGCACUUAGACACGAAAGGAUAUGUUUCAGAUAUGAAGGUAUAAAAAUAUAUAAAGCAUCAUCAAGCAAUGGAGGAAGCUAGAUCCCAAAAUCAACAAAAAGAAAUGUAGAACUUAAUUAGUUCCUGGAGCAUAUACCUAGAUGAUCAUAGAUCAUGCAGGUUCAUAACAUGGAAACACUCUUAGAAAGGUGGUUUAUAUGGAUGUUGUCCUCUGUUUGUCUAACCAAAAGCACGGCGAGUGUUACUACAAUGUACUCCCUCCGUUUCUAAAUAUAAGACCUUUUAGGCCCCGUUCGGGUUGGAGGGAGAGAAAACUACGGGACUCAUUGAAGGCACAGGAUUGCUGUGGUAAAACCAAGGAGUGAAAAAUGGAGGAUAGAAGCAAAAGGAUGGUGUCCGGAUCAGAGGGGCGAGAACCAUAGGAAACUGGUGCUUGGGCUGAUUAAAAAAUAGAACAAAUGUGUUUUGUCGUACAUGCCACAUGCAAAGAAACAUUGUUUAUUAAUUGAGCUUUUCUCUUGCCUCAAGCCUACACGAGAAAAAAAGAGAUUGAGGCAGAUGUUUCUUUUCCUCUGGAAUCAUGGGUAUAGGCCCACCUUUCCUUAGAAGUACUGUUCCCAUUUCCUGCCUUCCGAACGCAUCGACGGAGAGAAAAACUACAGGAGCUUGAUUCCUUUGCUUUUUCAUGUAAACCGAACGGAGCCUUAGAGGUUUCAAUACGGACUACAUACGGAUGUAUAUAGACGCAUUUUAGAGUGUAGAUUAACUCAUUUUGCUUCAUAUAUAGUUUGUAUUGGAAUCUCUAAAAAGGCUUAUAUUAUUUAGGAACAAAGGGAGUAGUAGUUAUACUGUCGUUCACAGGAUAGUCAAGUGAUUAUUUUUCGCUUCUGCCUCACAUGGUUGUUGGUUGGAAAAAAAGUUAUAUCUUUUGUGCUACAUUCGUUUUUCUCAAUUCCCAUGAAAUUUCUAACUGGACUGUCUCAGCCGUUGUUGUGUAUAUUUGUUUCCUUCUAAAAAAAGAGGGGUUUUAUGCAACCCUUCGUAGACACCACUGCGGAUCUCGAGUGGCGAAAUGUUCUUUCUUGAACCUUCCAGUGGCGAGAUGUUAUUACUUAGGUUCAUGAAAUGGGAAAAAAAUCAUGAGCUUAAUUUUCUAGAGUACUGUAUCAAUAACCUAGGUAAAUAAGUUCUCCUUUGUUAGGUCCUUCCAGUUAUGUACUUUUGCUGCCACUAAUCGUGAACUAUAUUCAGCAUUGAGCAUUCUAAUUAUUCUUCUGCAUUGUUCUCUACAUCAACAACUGCUGUAGUGCAGGCUGAAGCGAUGGCAUGUAUGAUUGAUGUAGUUUCAUCUCAAUAAGAACUAUUUGGUGUAUAGUAUGUUGGUCCCAGCCUACUUGUUGUAACUCCUGAUUUUGAUGGAUUUUGUUCACGGCUUUGAUUAUACAAUGUAGAAUUUGUACCGUUUUGAGCCAAAUUCAACAGAGUAUAUCAUCCAAUGCUAACGGUUUCAAUUAUCAUGGUAUAUUCAAGUCAAAGCUAAAUACUAGUCUGUGCCCGCCUAGCUUGGUAAAGAUUGCAGGUUAAUCUACUUUGGUGCUGUAGGUUCUUUUCUUCUUACUCUUAUUCUUUAGAUUUUAUUUGUUAUUCCUAUUUCCAUUUAGGGCGAAAAAAGCUGGGAACUGUUUGGACAAAUUUACCUUUUAAGUGUUCUCCCUUCGUGCCCAAAACAAUGUUAGGUGGGCUAAGAUAAUACUUUUAGGCGUUCAGAAAGAGUCACAUCUAUAAUUAGCUUUCAGCUUGCUGUAUCCAGUGUGAACUACUGGAAAUAUGUACAUCUACUGAAAGAGUCAUAAUUAUAUAUUUUUAGCUUUUAGCUCAUUGUAUCCAAUAUCUGUGAAGUUGUAUGUUUAUUGUUUUGGAAAUAAGUGUGGAAUAUUGGCUGCUGGUACCUAUGUACAGUAACUUAAGUAUAUCGCCAGGAACACUUUAUGCUUAGCAAUCGUACAAAGUAAAUGACGCAUUUCCUUUCAAUGGAUAGACAAAAAGUGGACAUGGGGCUUCCAUGCCACAUCCAUGGCUACUGCUGGAAGUUGAUUGGCGGUCUUCAUGUCCCAAAAUGCUAGUUUUAUAGAUUAUGAAGCAACCAUAAGGACUGGACUCAGAAAGAACCAUGAAGCCAACGGUCCAAGUCAAAUAGAUGUUUGAGCUUUCAUUUUGUACAACUGAUGCCUCAUACUUGCAUCUGAUGUAUGGUGUAUGGUGUAUGGUGUCUUGGUGGGUAUAUUUAGAAUAGACUGAAGUGUAUGUAUGUGACAAAUAGUUAAUGAAAUAAAAAAUAUUUGGUGCACCUGAAAUAUGGUGUCUUGGUGAU